UUAAAGCACCAGUUCUCGUAAGAUCACUGAAGUUAAGCAACGUCGUGUCAGGUCUGUACCAAGAUGGGGGAACGGUUAGGAAUACCAGGUGCUGUAAG
This is a non-coding RNA of Acanthosepion pharaonis, 98 nucleotides long. Lineage: Eukaryota; Metazoa; Mollusca; Cephalopoda; Sepiida; Sepiidae. The record is from the annotation of a GenBank genome assembly.